Molecule: ribosomal RNA, 250 nt
Filed under: uncultured bacterium
Lineage: Bacteria
Description: partial 16S ribosomal RNA
Rfam family: Bacterial small subunit ribosomal RNA
Source: RNAcentral
CUAAGAAUCUUGCGCAAUGGGCGAAAGCCUGACGCAGCAACGCCGCGUGGGGGACGAAGGCCCUCGGGUCGUAAACCCCUUUUACGAGGGAAGAAGUUCUGACGGUACCUCGUGAAUAAGCCACGGCUAACUACGUGCCAGCAGCCGCGGUAAUACGUAGGUGGCAAGCGUUGUCCGGAUUUAUUGGGCGUAAAGCGCCCGCAGGCGGCCCGAUUAGUUUCAGGUGAAAUCUCCCGGCUCAACUGGGAGG